GCGAUGACUUUGACAGCGCAUUUGCUAAAAGUGAAACAAAACAGAUUAGCAUGGCCCCUGUACAAAGAAUAUAAGCAAAUUUGCGAAGUUUUUAUAAUAAAA
Small nuclear RNA from Peromyscus leucopus (white-footed mouse), 102 nucleotides. NCBI's taxonomy places the organism in Eukaryota, Metazoa, Chordata, Mammalia, Rodentia, Cricetidae. The record is from RefSeq and is a predicted model, not a curated record.